Molecule: transfer RNA, 70 nt
Filed under: Lagocephalus wheeleri (brown-backed toadfish)
Lineage: Eukaryota; Metazoa; Chordata; Actinopteri; Tetraodontiformes; Tetraodontidae
Also listed under: 1 other name
Description: tRNA-Trp
Rfam family: tRNA
About the family: Transfer RNA (tRNA) molecules are approximately 80 nucleotides in length. Their secondary structure includes four short double-helical elements and three loops (D, anti-codon, and T loops).
Source: RNAcentral
AGAGAUUUAGGUUAACCUAGACCAAGAGCCUUCAAAGCCCUCAGUGGGAGUUAAAACCUCUCAAUCCCUG